UACUGUUAAUGAUGAUUUUGUGUUAAACAAUGGGAAUCUCUCUGAAAAAGAAUGAGGAAGACUCUCUUUUAUGCUGAAACAGUA
This is a small nucleolar RNA of Chelonoidis abingdonii (Abingdon island giant tortoise), 84 nucleotides long. Its record names the gene SNORD79. It matches the Rfam family "Small nucleolar RNA SNORD79". From Rfam's summary of the family: snoRNA U79 or Z22 is found in intron 7 of the gas5 gene in humans and is also present in mice. U79 is a member of the C/D class of snoRNA which contain C (UGAUGA) and D (CUGA) box motifs. The record is from Ensembl. Lineage: Eukaryota; Metazoa; Chordata; Testudines; Testudinidae.